RNAcentral lists this ribosomal RNA (440 nucleotides) under uncultured bacterium. RNAcentral describes it as "partial 16S ribosomal RNA". It matches the Rfam family "Bacterial small subunit ribosomal RNA", at positions 338 to 795 of the family's 1533-position model. The record is from RNAcentral.
CCUACGGGGGGCAGCAGUGGGGGAUAUUGCACAAUGGGCGCAACCCUGAUGCAGCGACGCCGCGUGAGUGAAGAAGGCUUUCGGUUUGUAAAGCUCUAUCAGCAGGGAAGAAAAUGACAGGGUCCGUCCUAGAAGCGCCGGCUAACUACGUGCCAGCAGCCGCGGGAAUACGGAGGGGGCAAGCGUUAUCCGGAUUUACUGGGUGUAAAGGGGGCGUAGACGGUUAUGUAAGUCUGGAGUGAAAGCCCGGGGCGCAACCCCGGGACUGCUUUGGAAACUGUGUAACUGGAGUACAGGAGGGGCAGGCGGAAUUCCUGGUGUAGCGGUGAAAUGCGUAGAUAUCAGGAGGAACACCGGCGGCGAAGGCGGCCUGCUGGACUGAAACUGACGUUGAGGCGCGAAAGCGUGGGGAGCAAACAGGAUUAGAUACCCUAGUAGUC